UAAUUCAGUACUGUGUGUCUGUGUGUGCUUAUUCCUGCUAACAGUGGGCUGGGGAGGAGCCCAGGGACAGUGAGAGGGAGUGUAGGCUCACCAGGUCUUUAACAGUGGGCCAAAAUGCCAGACCCAUUUGUCCAGACCAACCAAGCCCAGUGGACCUAAGUCCAAAUGAGCCGUUGAGCAUCCACCGAGAUAGGGAGGGAAUCACAGGACCAGGGGAGGAACCGGCCCCACACCCUCCUUCUGGAGCCACACGAGACAGGGCCCCAAAAAAACUGAGCUUUGUUUUGGAGGAUGAGAGGGAGAAGUAGACACAGUGCCCUCUUCCCCUCCACCUUUCUCUGAAGCCAUUUGGCGUGUCUGUCUUCCCACUUUAAUUGCAUUCCAGCUGUCUGGAGUGAAGCAGUAAGAAAAUAAUUUUUACCUUCAAAGAUUUGCGUUGACUUUUUGAGCACUGAUUAGCUGCUGUUUAUUUUGAGGCACACAUUUUUUUAUAUGAUUUAUAUUAAACAGUUUGAUACCCCAAUGCUUGGAAAGGAAAUGGUUCAGUCCUGAAAUUUUAUGUAGAUGGAGAAAAUAAAAAUAAAAAAGUA
Anguilla anguilla (European eel) is the source of this 590-nucleotide long non-coding RNA. RefSeq lists it as uncharacterized. The transcript is spliced from 2 exons. The record is from RefSeq and is a predicted model, not a curated record. NCBI's taxonomy places the organism in Eukaryota, Metazoa, Chordata, Actinopteri, Anguilliformes, Anguillidae.